AGCUUUGCGCAGAGAUAGUAUCGUAGCCAGUGAGGUUUAUCCCAGGCGCAAUUACCGCUAACUGAAAACUUUUCCCAAUACCCCACCAUGACGGCUUGAAAUUCAGUCAGCAUUGGCAAUUUUUGACAGUCUUUACAGAGA
Molecule: small nuclear RNA, 141 nt
Organism: Nycticebus coucang (slow loris)
Lineage: Eukaryota; Metazoa; Chordata; Mammalia; Primates; Lorisidae
Product: U4 spliceosomal RNA
Exons: 1
Source: RefSeq, a predicted model, not a curated record